This 253-nucleotide ribosomal RNA is filed under the name uncultured bacterium. RNAcentral's name for it is "partial 16S ribosomal RNA". It matches the Rfam family "Bacterial small subunit ribosomal RNA", at positions 524 to 776 of the family's 1533-position model. The record is from RNAcentral.
UACGGGGGGGGCAAGCGUUGUUCGGAAUUACUGGGCGUAAAGGGCUCGUAGGCGGCCAGCUAAGUCGGAUGUGAAAUCCCCAGGCUUAACCUGGGAACUGCAUCCGAUACUGGAUGGCUUGAAUCCGGGAGAGGGAUGCGGAACUCCAGGUGUAGCGGUGAAAUGCGUAGAUAUCUGGAGGAACACCGGUGGCGAAGGCGGCAUCCUGGACCGGCAUUGACGCUGAGGAGCGAAAGCCAGGGGAGCAAACGGG